GGCCCCUUCCUUCCAUAAGACCUACUCAGGACUCCACUGGGCUGCUGACUACUCACCCUCCCCUCAGGUCAUCUCCUGACCCGUACACAGUUAUGUCCACCCAGGGUCUGCUUGGACACCUGUGCCUGAUGUUCACCAGGGGCCAGAUGUCGUCCUCAGGCCUGAUGUCCACCUAGGGCCUGAUGACUGCCUUGGCCUAUGUCCCUCUGGGGGCCUUGUGUUCACCUGGGGACUGUAUCCAGCUGGGGCCUGAUGGCCUACUGGGUCUUGUUGUUCACCUAAGGCCUUGUGUCCACCUGGGGACUGGUGAUCACCUGGGGCCUGGGUGUCCACCUGAGGCCAGAGGUGCACCUAAGGCCUGAGUUUUCACCUGGGCCUGAUGAUCACCUGGGGACUGGGUGUGUGCCUUGGGUCUUUUCCCUUUUCCUGAACAGGGCUUGCAGUUUCCAAACCAGACACAAUCUCCCAGUUGGAGAAAGAAAAAGGAUCCUAGAUGAUAGUGAGACAAAUUUCAGGAAACUCCAUCCAAAUAAGUAAAUGAGAAUGAGGACAGGAUUCAUUGCAUGGUGGCAUGUGCCUGCAGUCCCAGCUACUCAAGAGGCUGAGGUGGGAGGAUCGCUUGAACUCAGGAGUUGAAGGCUGCAGUGGGUGAGGAUCACAACACUGAAUUCCAGCUGAGGUGACAGAAUGAGACCCUGUCUCUCUAAAAAACAAGCAAGCAAACAAACCAAAAACCACAGACAAACCAGACCCCUCUUAGCAGAAUACUUCCAUGAGGUAAUAAAAGAAAGAAGAAAGUGAAACGAACAAACAAUUUUACUCAAGAAACUAGUGAGAAAUCAAAGAAAUGUCCAAGAAGUAGGAGACAAGAAUUAAUCAAAACAGAUUAACAGUGGAAUAAAUAAAUGAAUCCAACUGGUUCUUUGUAAUGGAAUGUAGAAAGACAUACUCUAUUCUUCUGGAUAGGAAGAUGAAAUAUCAUAAUCAUAUCAAUGCAAGUUUUAUGCAUGCUCAAACAUGUAUAAACUAAGAAAAAAUCUGAAAGGACAGACAGCAAAAUGUUUGCAGUUUUUUUCCUCCAAGUGGUAAGAUUAAAGAACACAGACAAAAAUAGAAACUCCUCACAUGACCCACCACGAAGCCCAUCAGAUGGCAGAAUGCAGAAUCAGGUUGCAAUGGACUGAUCUUAAAACAGAUGAAGCAGUGGAGAAAAUCUUCCUGGAGCUGAUGGUAUAAUUUGCUUCUUGAAACAAUGACAGUCCAUGAAAUAAGGUGGGGAAGAUGUUUUGAACCUCUCUCAGCAGCAGAUCCCUAAAUCACAGACCCAGAACUUGGAGGAAACAGGAAACAGGAGGCCAUCUCUGCACCUCUCCAGCACUGCUCUGGUUGGUGGGCAGAAUAUCAUACAAUCAUCACGAUUCUUAUAUCAAAAACCAAAUUCUAGACUGAUUAAAUAAUUAUUUUUUUAAAUGAGAAAAGUUAUCGUUUAUUUGAUCUUGGGCUAGGGAAGAUAUUUCCAAGCAAAAAGGGUAAAAAGAAGGAAAAAGAAAUGAUUAACAGAUUGGAAGGCAAUAACAAUAUAAUAUCAAGUGCUGGCAAGAGCUCAGAGAAGUGUGUGUUCUCAUGACUGCUGGAACAAAUUGGUAUAAUAUUUCUGAAGGGCAAUCUGGCUGAAUAUGUUAGAAGUCUUUAAAAUAUUUAUACUCUGACUCAGUAAUUCAACAUCUAGAAAUUUUUCCUAAGUAAGUAAUAAGAAAGAGUUGAAAAAAGUAUUUGAAUAUUGAAAGACUGGAAAGAACAUAAAGGUUCAAUAAUACAUAUAUGUUCAACAACAGGGGACUAGUAAAUAUGAAUUAUUUAUAUGAUAAAAUACUAUCUAACCUUAAAAUAAUGUUUUAAAUAAUAUUUAAUGAUGAGAAUAUGCUGAGAAAAGUUUAAUCAUUUUAAAAAAGUUACAUGCAAAAUUAAAGUUAAUAACAUGUACAAGAUUAUUCUAAUUUUUUUUUUUUUUGAGAUG
Molecule: long non-coding RNA, 2017 nt
Filed under: Homo sapiens (human)
Lineage: Eukaryota; Metazoa; Chordata; Mammalia; Primates; Hominidae
Description: HSALNT0388688
Source: RNAcentral